This is an RNA transcript of Drosophila santomea, 1275 nucleotides long. RefSeq lists it as uncharacterized. The record is from RefSeq and is a predicted model, not a curated record. NCBI's taxonomy places the organism in Eukaryota, Metazoa, Arthropoda, Insecta, Diptera, Drosophilidae. The transcript has 3 exons.
CAAACAGAACAGUCAUGCCAACUAUUAUGUACAUUUUACUUACACUUCCUCGUUACACGUCCUGCAACAAGGACUCGCACAUGUGCUAACUACCGAAACAAUGUCUGCCUGCCUCUGCAUAUGUGUCUGUAUGUGUGUGUGUGUGCUACUGUAAAUGUGUGAUUUCAAGUCGCGGUAAAAAGCUCAUUACCUUGCUGGUUAUCUGAACAUCUGUUAGUUUGUACUUUUAGCUGGGACUCCCAAUGAAUUCCAACACAUACAACUUUAAGCAAAGAGGUAAAGGGUAAAAGGAGUGAGUGAGUUGGCGAUGUGAGUGAGUGGGAAAGCAAACGCUGGCAACUUUACGAUAGCGUUAAAUUAGACAUCAACUUGGCAAAGUACACACACAGUGACACACACUUGCAGGGCCACAAACAACAAUAUUGAUAGCUCGUCUGAUGCCGUUGGCCCAAGCUUAUCAAAGGCGCUAUGCCAAGUACACUGCAAUUACAGGGUAUGCACACUAGUUGUAUUUGUAUCAUAUACAUUUUAAGCAUUGCAUUUGAAUGAAUUGCGGAACAAUCUUUAAAACUAUUUGAUAGCACAUGAAGCUUUUGAAAUGCAUGCUGGCAUGCGGUGGCACAGAGGCAGGAGCCAGCAGUUCGCAAUCGCUAUCGCCAUCGCAGCGCGUCAUGUUGUUCAACGCCUUGCAGCUUGCUGCAGUCGACAACGUUGCAGCAACACACAGUGGGCGUGGCCCUCCGCCCACGACGACGACGACGACGACGACGGGCGGCACAUGUUAAAGGCCGAAGGGCGGUUGCAGAGUGGGCGUCAUGCGUCUGGCCACCACGCCCACCAUGCUCGUUUACAUGACGCAAUUGCCUGGCAUUCAUAAGCCAUUAUCAGUGCCAAGUCAUCGGGCAAGUCUUAGAGCAAACAAUGCAGCUGCCAUCCAUCAGCCGACUUUGGCCAUAACUACUGUUCCACGGACUUGUGACUUGUGACUUGUGACUUGUGUGGGCCAUAGCUUGUUGUGCAUGGAGCCAUUGCAAUUGCCAUCGCCACUGCUUGCACAGUCUUAUCAUUUCCAGGACGACACAGAUCUCUCGCCAAGAUGUUUGACUUGCGGCAGUUUAUGGCUUUAUAUAUAGUACGGCUGGUAUUCUGAUAUUCUGAUAUUCCGUUCCCAUUCCGGUCCCAUCAAAUUGGCAGCCCACGCAUUCGUACAACUUCAAAUAGCACACUGAGCAGACCGGAAGUAAACGUUUAAUGUGGGACAAAGCAGGUCCAGAG